UCCGGAUAACGCCUUGCCACCUUACGGUAUUAACCGGCGGCUGCUGCGACGAUAGUCAGCCGGUGGCUUUUCUGGUUAGGUACCGUCAAGGUGCCAGCUUAUUUCAAACUAGCACUUGUCUCUUCCCUAACAACAGGAGGUUACGACGACCCGAAAAGCCUUUCAUUCCACUCACACGCGGCGGUUGCUCCGGCCAGA
This 198-nucleotide ribosomal RNA is filed under the name Bacillus gaemokensis. RNAcentral's name for it is "partial 16S ribosomal RNA". Lineage: Bacteria; Bacillati; Bacillota; Bacilli; Caryophanales; Bacillaceae. The record is from RNAcentral.